This 911-nucleotide ribosomal RNA is filed under the name uncultured archaeon. RNAcentral describes it as "bacterial SSU rRNA". It matches the Rfam family "Archaeal small subunit ribosomal RNA", at positions 1 to 922 of the family's 1478-position model. The record is from RNAcentral.
UUCCGGUUGAUCCUGCCGGAGGAUACUGCUUUUGGAGUUCGAUUAAGUCAUGCAAGUCAGAUCGUAAGAUCGGCGAACGGCUCAGUAACACGUGGGUAAUCUGCCCUAUGGUCUGGGAUAACCUUGGGAAACUGAGGGUAAGACCGGAUAGAGUAAUUCUACUGGAAUGUGUUUUACUUGAAAGGUAACGCCAUAGGAUGAGCCUGCGUUAGAUUAGGUUGUUGGUGAGGUAAUGGCUCACCAAGCCUGUGAUCUAUAAGGGCAAUGAAAGUUGGAGCCCUGAGGAGAGGACUGAGACAAGGCCUCUAGCCCUACGGGGUGCAGCAGACGCGAAACCUUUACAAUGAACGAAAGUUUGAUAAGGGAACUCCGAGUGCUCAUAGGAAACUAUGGGCUUUUGUUAAGUGUAGAUAGCUUGAUGAAUAAGGACUGGGUAAGACCCGUGCCAGCCGCCGCGGUAAUACGGGCAGUUCUAGUGGUAUCCGCGUAUAUUGGGCUUAAAGCGUCCGUAGCUGGUCCAGAAAGUUUCUAGUGAAAGCUCGCAGCUUAACUGAUGAGAGGUGCUAGAAAAACUUUUGGACUUGGAGGCGGGAGAGGUAAGAGGUACUUUUGGGGUAGCGGUUAAAUGUGUUAAUCCUGAAGGGACCACCGGUAGCGAAGGCGUCUUACUAGAACGCGCUCGACAGUGAGGGACGAAGGCCAGGGGAGCAACCCGGAUUAGAUACCCGGUUAGUCCUGGCAGUAAAUGAUGCAGACUAGGUGUCCUGUAACCUACGUGGUUAUGGGGUGCCGAAGGGAAACCGUUAAGUCUGCCGCCUGGGGAGUACGGUCGCAAGACUGAAACUUAAAGGAAUUGGCGGGAGAGCACCACAAGGGGUGGAGGCUGCGGUUUAAUUGGAUUCAACGCCGGG